AAAUGACGGUACCUGACUAAGAAGCACCGGCUAAAUACGUGCCAGCAGCCGCGGUAAUACGUAUGGUGCAAGCGUUAUCCGGAUUUACUGGGUGUAAAGGGAGCGUAGACGGAGUGGCAAGUCUGAUGUGAAAACCCGGGGCUCAACCCCGGGACUGCAUUGGAAACUGUCAAUCUAGAGUACCGGAGAGGUAAGCGGAAUUCCUAGUGUAGCGGUGAAAUGCGUAGAUAUUAGGAGGAACACCAGUGGCGAAGGCGGCUUACUGGACGGUAACUGACGUUGAGGCUCGAAAGCGUGGGGAGCAAACAGGAUUAGAUACCCUGGUAGUCCACGCCGUAAACGAUGACUACUAGGUGUCGGGCAGCAAAGCUGUUCGGUGCCGCAGCAAACGCAAUAAGUAGUCCACCUGGGGAGUACGUUCGCAAGAAUGAAACUCAAAG
This 440-nucleotide ribosomal RNA is filed under the name uncultured bacterium. Its description in RNAcentral is "bacterial SSU rRNA". It matches the Rfam family "Bacterial small subunit ribosomal RNA", at positions 467 to 906 of the family's 1533-position model. The record is from RNAcentral.